RNAcentral lists this small nucleolar RNA (121 nucleotides) under Ochotona princeps (American pika). Its description in RNAcentral is "Small nucleolar RNA SNORA26 (ENSOPRG00000019605.1)". It matches the Rfam family "Small nucleolar RNA SNORA26". From Rfam's summary of the family: The snoRNA HBI-6 belong to the H/ACA family of snoRNAs, guiding the pseudouridylation of position U4522 if the 28S rRNA. HBI-6 is the human orthologue of mouse MBI-6 snoRNA. The record is from RNAcentral. Lineage: Eukaryota; Metazoa; Chordata; Mammalia; Lagomorpha; Ochotonidae.
GUGCCCUUUCAGAACUAACACAGAGGUUCCAGAGCUUAACACAGCAGGGGAAAGUAAGUCUUGACAAAACCCAGAGAAGCAGUUGUCACCUCUGCUUUGGAACCUGUCUGAAGUCAUAGCU